RNAcentral lists this ribosomal RNA (492 nucleotides) under uncultured bacterium. RNAcentral describes it as "partial 16S ribosomal RNA". It matches the Rfam family "Bacterial small subunit ribosomal RNA", at positions 29 to 507 of the family's 1533-position model. The record is from RNAcentral.
AGUGAACGCUGGCGGUAGGCCUAACACAUGCAAGUCGAACGGCAGCACAGUAAGAGCUUGCUCUUACGGGAGGCGCGCGGCGGACGGGUGAGGAAUACACCGGAAUCUACUUUUUCGUGGGGGCUAACGUCGGGAAACUUACGCUAAUACCGCAUACGACCUCCGGGUGAAAGCAGGGGAUCUUCGGACCUUGCGCGAGUGAAUGAGCCGCUGUCGGAUUAGCUAGUUGGCGGGGUAUAGGCGGACCAAGGCGACGAUCCGAAGCUGGUCUGAGAGGAUGAUCAGGCACACUGUAAGUGAGACACGUUCGAGACUCCUACACGGAGCAGCGGUGGGGAAUAUUGGACGAUGGGCGCGAGCCUGAUCCAGCCAUACCGCGUAGGUGAAGAAGGCCUUCUGGUGGGAGAGUCCUGUUGGUGUGAGAGAAGAGCAGCUGUUUAAUACCCCGCUGUACUGACGGUACCCAAAGAAUAAGCACCGGCUAACUUCGUG